CAUUAAAUGACUGAAAGCAAGUAAUGGUCUCUUAAACCAUUUUAUAGUAAAAUAGCACCUACUUUUAAUGA
This 71-nucleotide transfer RNA is filed under the name Euripus nyctelius (courtesan). RNAcentral's name for it is "tRNA-Lys". Lineage: Eukaryota; Metazoa; Arthropoda; Insecta; Lepidoptera; Nymphalidae. The record is from RNAcentral.